CCAUUAUCCAUUAAGGAC
RNAcentral lists this small nuclear RNA (18 nucleotides) under Arabidopsis thaliana (thale cress). RNAcentral's name for it is "snRNA_14746". The record is from RNAcentral. Lineage: Eukaryota; Viridiplantae; Streptophyta; Magnoliopsida; Brassicales; Brassicaceae.